UGAUCCCUCAGUUCCGCCAUGCCACUCCGCCGUGACCACUACGCCACACUAAUGCGCAGCCAUCAAGCUGCUAUCACUCGAGUCCUUUGAUCUACGAACCUGAAACAAGAUUAAGUUGUGAACCGCCACCGCAUACCGCCGAUGCACCACUGACCAGAGUUUUCGUUGCUGGCAUCUUCGUUCAUUGGAGUGGAUAUAGCUGGCAACACUAAUCGUCUCCGCGAAAGUAAUCCGUUUGCUCCGCUCUUCGGUGGUGCAAUAUGUUAUGGUUCCUAUGUUCGUUAAGGACUUCUUUUAUUAUUAUUUUGCUUUGCUUGGCUAAAUUA
RNAcentral lists this long non-coding RNA (326 nucleotides) under Helianthus annuus (common sunflower). Its description in RNAcentral is "sRNA HanXRQr2_Chr10g0454271". The record is from RNAcentral. Lineage: Eukaryota; Viridiplantae; Streptophyta; Magnoliopsida; Asterales; Asteraceae.